This 111-nucleotide small nucleolar RNA is filed under the name Gossypium arboreum. RNAcentral's name for it is "Plant small nucleolar RNA R71". It matches the Rfam family "Plant small nucleolar RNA R71". From Rfam's summary of the family: R71 is a member of the C/D box family of snoRNAs containing the C (UGAUGA) and D (CUGA) box motifs. The record is from Rfam by way of RNAcentral. Lineage: Eukaryota; Viridiplantae; Streptophyta; Magnoliopsida; Malvales; Malvaceae.
AAUCCAUGGUGAGGACACCUUCUCAACAAAUUCUUGAUUCUCUCCCAUGUAUCAUAAAGAAUCUCAAUAUCAAUUUGAACAGAGGAAGAGAUGUCACUCCUCAAUGAGAAU